UAGAGAAUAGAGGCAAAUCCCUAUUCUUAAUAUCGAGAUGUGAUGGGGAGCGAAAAAUAAGUAGUGAAGCAACAGAUUCCAAACUGCCAAGAAAAGGUACUAUUGAGUGAGAAGAUACCCGUACCAAAACCGACACAGGUAGGCAAGGAGAGAAUCCUAAGACGCGCGGAAGAACCUUUGUUAAGGAACUCGGCAAAAUGACCCCGUAACUUCGGGAGAAGGGGUACCAUUAGAUGUGAGAUACUUGCGUAUGGAGCAUAGAGUGGUCGCAGAGAAUAGGCCCAAGCAACUGUUUACCAAAAACACAAGUCUCUGCUAAAUCGAAAGAUGAAGUAUAGGGGCUGACACCUGCCCGGUGCUGGAAGGUUAAGGGGAAAUGUUAGAGCAAUCGAAGCAUAGAACUUAAGCCCCAGUAAACGGCGGCCGUAACUAUAACGGUCCUAAGGUAGCGAAAUUCCUUGUCGGGUAAGUUCCGACCCGCACGAAAGGUGUAAUGAUUUGGGCACUGUCUCAACAAAGGAUCCGGUGAAAUUGUAGUAGUCGUGAAGAUGCGACUUACCCACGAUAGGACGGAAAGACCCCGUGGAGCUUUACUGUAGGCUGGCAUUGGAAUUUGGUAUUAAAUGUACAGGAUAGGUGGGAGACUUUGAAGCGAGAGCGCCAGUUUUCGUGGAGUCAACGUUGGGAUACCACUCUUUUGAUACUAAAUUUCUAACUUGAUACUCUGAAGCGAGUAUAAGGACACUGUCAGUUGGGCAGUUUGACUGGGGCGGUCGCCUCCUAAAGAGUAACGGAGGCGUUCAAAGGUUCCCUCAGAAUGGAUGGAAAUCAUUCUAAGAGUGCAAAGGCAAAAGGGAGCUUAACUGCGACACCAACAAGUGGAGCAGAUAGGAAACUAGGACUUAGUGAUCCGGUGGUACCGAGUGGAAGGGCCAUCGCUCAACGGAUAAAAGCUACCCCGGGGAUAACAGGCUUAUCUCCCCCAAGAGUUCACAUCGACGGGGAGGUUUGGCACCUCGAUGUCGGCUCGUCUCAUCCUGGGGCUGGAGUAGGUCCCAAGGGUUGGGCUGUUCGCCCAUUAAAGAGGCACGCGAGCUGGGUUCAGAACGUCGUGAGACAGUUCGGUCCCUAUCCAUCGUGGGCGUAGGAAAUUUGAGAGGAGCUGUCCUUAGUACGAGAGGACCGGGAUGGACAGACCGCUGGUGUAUCAGUUAUCAUGCCAAUGGUAAUGCUGAAUAGCUAAGUCUGGAAGGGAUAAGUGCUGAAGGCAUCUAAGCACGAAGCCCCCCUCAAGAUGAGAUUUCCUGUUGCAGAAAUGCAAGAGAGAUUCGAUACAGAAAAUGUCGUAGAUAGGUCAGAGGUGUAAAGGUGGCAACAUCAAAGCUAACUGAUACUAAUAAAUCGAAAGCUUGACCA
RNAcentral lists this ribosomal RNA (1416 nucleotides) under human oral metagenome. RNAcentral's name for it is "bacterial LSU rRNA". It matches the Rfam family "Bacterial large subunit ribosomal RNA", at positions 1525 to 2925 of the family's 2925-position model. The record is from RNAcentral.